GCCAGGUUACAAAUGCUGGCUGUCCAGAUGCCUAAAAAGCAUUUCAUAGCAAGGGCCGGGCAAGACCGGUGCCAGCCGCCGCGGUAACACCGGCGGCUCGAGUGGUAACCGUUAUUAUUGGGUCUAAAGGGUCUGUAGCCGGCCGGAUAAGUCUCUUGAGAAAUCUGGCAGCUUAACUGUCAGGCUUUCAGGAGAUACUGUCUGGCUCGAGGCCGGGAGAGGUGAGAGGUACUUCGGGGGUAGGGGUGAAAUCUUGUAAUCCAA
This 264-nucleotide ribosomal RNA is filed under the name uncultured Methanosaeta sp. RNAcentral describes it as "partial 16S ribosomal RNA". It matches the Rfam family "Archaeal small subunit ribosomal RNA", at positions 385 to 650 of the family's 1478-position model. The record is from RNAcentral. Lineage: Archaea; Methanobacteriati; Methanobacteriota; Methanomicrobia; Methanotrichales; Methanotrichaceae.